AUGCCAAAAGCAGUUGCCAAAGUCCUCACAAAUAGAGUUAAACCUCUCAUCCCACUGCUCAUUCAUUAUGAUCAGACGGGCUUCCUUCAUGGAUGUAACAUUGCUGAAAAUUUCAUCUAUGCUGCUGAUAUCCUUAGUGCGUGCCACUCACGUAAAGCCCCGACCAUGGUCUUCAAGCUCGACUUCAGGAAAGCCUUUGACUCCAUAUGCUGGUCCUCCCUCAUUCAAAUCCUACAAGCCCGCAGUUUUCCUACCAUUUUCUGUUCAUGGGUCAAAAACAUCCUUCUCACUGGGAAAACAUCUAUUCUUUUAAAUGGCGUUCCAGGGUCCUGGAUUCAAUGUAGAUGUGGCCUCCGCCAAGGUGACCCCUUCUCGCCAUACUUGUUCAUUAUCGUUGCUGACGUACUUCAAAGAUUAAUCGCCAACGCUUUCCAAACCAACGUUCUUUGCCACCCGUUAUGA
RNAcentral lists this ribosomal RNA (462 nucleotides) under Triticum aestivum (bread wheat). Its description in RNAcentral is "partial small subunit ribosomal RNA". Lineage: Eukaryota; Viridiplantae; Streptophyta; Magnoliopsida; Poales; Poaceae. The record is from RNAcentral.